UCUUGUCACCAACCAUUCCUACUUGGUGGCCAUGUACUUGGAAAAAGGCCGCAUGAUCUUUCUGGCUCCACUCAGUGUCUAAGGCACCCUGCUUCCUUUGCUUGCAUCCCACAGACUAUUUCCCUCAUCCUAUUUACUGCAGCAAAUCUCUCCUUAGUUGAUGAUACUGUGUUUAUCUCCCUUUAAAACCCUACCUAUCCUGAAUGGUCUGUCAUUGUCUGC
RNAcentral lists this long non-coding RNA (222 nucleotides) under Homo sapiens (human). Its description in RNAcentral is "lncAB65.1". The record is from RNAcentral. Lineage: Eukaryota; Metazoa; Chordata; Mammalia; Primates; Hominidae.